AUCAAUAGCUGUUUCCCUCAUUCUCUCUUCUUUCCAAAAUCACUUCAAAGAAACCCUAAAACCAUUUGUCUGCGGUUCAAGCAACAAGGUAAUGUUAAGUCUUCCAUGCUCCAAUGAUUGUCGCCACACUUUGAUCGCUGCCACUUCCCCUUUAAUUUCGGCUGUUGUUGUAAAAGACGUGACUACCGGUGAUUAUAUCUUAAACGGCGGCGAAACUUACGAUUUGGCAGUUAUUGGUUAAGAUAAGAAAUUAGGGCACCGAUUGAAUACGAUGUCGUCUUCUUCUUACCGGAAUCAUUACACGAAUCCGAUGAGUUGAUAUUGAAUUUGACGUUUGAAGUUUCGGCAAAGCUUAAAUCUCAAAGAGAGCUUAUUGAUUGAUUAAACUCCGGAAGGCAAACCUCUAAAGGGUUCUUCUUUAUUUGAUGUUAGGGUUUGUGGGAUUAUACCAGAUUUUGACUUUCUUUUUCAAAAGUUUAAACAAGGUUCUUCUUUAUAUGAUGUUAGGUUUUGUGGGUGUUUCUUGAAUAUUAGAUAGAAAUAUAUGAGAAGGUUCGGAUUCCAUUUUGAUCUCGCCGUCAUCAAUCACGCAAUGAUUCCAGGUGAGCUAUGUUCGAGUUCUUAUUAACAAACACACUAACUAAAUCAAGUACAUCGAUGUUGAUGUCAACGAUUGUUCAAUCAAUGGAGAUGAAGGUAAGUUGUUCGUUGCAAUUUUUUGAAUUAUAUGACCCGGAUCUGGAUAUUUUCAAUUUCAAUGGCAUUUUCGUUUGAUUUUGGAAAUGAUUGUAGGUUUUGCUACAUUAAGCUGCGUUUUCAUUUGAAAUUUGAUCUUCAUUUUUUAUUGUAGCUUAAGUAAGUACAUUGGUAUUUAAUCGGGCUAUUUUGUAGCUUAAGUGAGAAACCAUGUUACAAAAUACCUUUAUUUAUGUGACUUGAAACUCGCUGAUCUUUUCCGUUACUGUUCUAAUAUCCCAGUUUUGAAAAGUCUAAAAGUGAAUAGAAGCUGUGUAAAUCCUAACGUUUUCGUGAAGAACUAUGAAUGAAUAAGUCUCUAAUGUACGCCGAUUAGAAUGAUUAUGUACGUCUCAUCUUCUCUCUAUUUGUAAUUGUUACUGUUUUUAGGGUUAUUUUAUGUUAGUUUGAUCUUAAUUAGGAGAAUAUUGUUAGUUUGUGUAAUUUGUAUGUUAGUUGAAAGUGAUGAUGAUUAAAGAAUAAUGAUGUUAACUCAAAAGGGGAGAGCACUAAGGAAAACAUGGUGAGCAUCCAUAAAUUUUUAUUCAGUUUGGUGCAACAGUUUUAUUUAUUCUUUAAUUUUUGCUAUUGUUUAUAAAUAAGAAAUAUUAAUUACAUUAUAUUAGGUUGGAGUGGUUGAUGAAAUUUGUAAAGCUACUGUUUAUAAAUAGGGUUAUUAAAUCUAUAUUGUCUCAUAAGCAGCCAUGUUUGUGAUGUUCCAGCUAAAAUGAUGAGCCAAACAAGUUGGACGAAAAGCUUAAGACAAUUGAAUCUCUUUUGGAAAGAAAGGUAUCUAUACCACGAAAUCAGCCUCUUCAUGGUUGACAAUUUGCCAUUGCAUCUCAUAUUGAAGUUUCAACUGAUAACCCAACACCCGUGUAGCGUCAUUAUUGCCUCUCUUAUUUGUUUUUUGUUCGGCUAUUGAGGUAACGAUUUUGCUCCUUUGCUAAGUUCUUAAUAUAACCACUUUGGCCACAUUUCCACCUUUUCUUUGUUAAUUGCAUUCUUUGUGUUAGCCAUAAACCCUAAUUUGUUGUCGCCAUUGUUUAUUUGGAGUUCAUUAACAUCUUUCUAUUAAGGAUCGAUUCGCCUAUCUUCGUUCAAAUUGCCGUCUCAGUCCCUUCAAAUUUCUCAUCUGCUUCGGUUGGUUGCGUAUGGCCAACUGUAAAGACAUUUGUCAAUGGCAGAGCAUUCGGUAUGCUUGAUACCUGUGCCAUCCAACCAAUCGAUAUGAGCACAGUAUGUUUAUAUAUAAUGUAAAAUUUGCAUUUCAAGUUCUUGAUAUGAUUAGUUUCUAAAGACUCUUUAGAUCUGUAAAAUCUGUAUUUCAAGUUCUUGAUACGAUUAGAAGUUCAUAUUACUAAAUUCAGUUUAUUAUGUGCAUACCAUAUGCUCGAUGAAAUGUCUGUGAUAGAAUGUGAUGUGAUUUUGGUAUUAAAAAAUCUUGAAGCACACUUUAUGUCUAUACAUAUAUUGCUAUGAUUUUGCAGCACCUUUGCAGAUAUCUUUAUGUGUUUGGUACUUGAAAAUUUGCUCUUGUGGUGAUAGUGAGUAAUGCUAUUGUUCCAGAUGUGAAUGGUGGUGUUGAUGAGAGGCAACCAAAGGAACCAAAAUGUGUAGAAACAAAUGAGUCUAACUAUGAAGAAGUCAUAAAAAGCAAGUCUGUUGAUCAAUUAAUCGAGGCUGAACUUAACGAGUUGAAAUGCAAAACCAAGUGAUCCAAACAACAAGCAUAAGGUAUUAGUUCAUGUUAUCAUCUUAAGUAGCUUAUGUGAGAGGGAACCACCUUCAAGAAGUCCAAAACCGGGAGGUGACAGGAAAUGUGUUUUUUUAUCACACUGAUAAUCAACGCUACAUACAACGAGCAUUGCUUAUGGAUUUGGAACCCAGAGUUUAUUUUAUGCCAUUCAAUUGCGGAGGAACUAGCUCAUGUAGUAUUUCAAGGAUCAUAUCUUUCAUUUUAUUCAUUUGAAAGUUACAGUUUAUUUCGGUCUGAUUUUUAUCCCAACAUCAUUCAUUAUAUGUAUAGUCUGCUGUGAUUUUUCAAACGGGACAUGGAAUGGCGGGAGACCUUUAAGUUUGUGUAUUAUAUAUCACAUUGUCGUCGUCGCCGCUAAGUCGCUAACUUACGUAUAAGUAAUUCGCGAGGGGGAUUGUUCAGUUUGGAGAGGUUUAUGAGAGAACGGAGAAUAGGGCGUAUGAGGAAUUGGCGAGGGCGGUUGUUAUGUUUGGAGAGGUUUAUGAGAGGAUGAAGCAAGAGAAGAGGAGAUGGUGAGGUUGAAGAAGCAGAGGAUGGAAUUUACUAAAGAGCUUGAGUUUCAUAGGUUGAACAUGUUUAUGGAAACUCAGGUUGCGCUUGAAAAAAAAAUGAAAAAUAAGAACAAGAGAUCAUCUGCUACAGGUUCCUUGGGUCCAGAGAGAGAGGGAAAUGAAGAAUCGGGUAGAGAGAGAGACUGAAAGCUGAUGGGGCCCUAUGACAGGGUUCAGUGGUAUGUUCCGGCGACCAUGGUGACCUGAACCCUAACACUCGGAUAAUAUCUCUUCGUUGUGCAUUCUUCGCCGAAGUCCAUGGCUUAUGUCGUCAAAUAUGCUUGGACAGUACAAUCAUGUCUCUUUUCCGUCUAUAUAGAAUCUUCAACUACGUGUUUUGCCUGUUCGUUUGCCCUAGCUAGAUUUAGUCGCAUGCACUCAUAUUUUCCUGUAGUAGCGUAUUUGCUUGGAUUUAUAAACUGAGCCGUUUAAUGUCUGAAAUUGACUGGUUUCUGAGGAGAUGAUAUUGAUAGGGACUCUAUAUUUGAAUGAGUGGAGCUGUUCAGUGGUUGUUUUUGUGGAUUGUUCGUAACCUUGAUGGUAUUGAUGGUGGCGACAGAGGUUGUAAAUAGGGUUCCGGUCACCCUUAGGCAAAAUCGCCCACCAUAGGGGGCAAUUGCGGUGAGUAUGAUGUUCCCAUUAGGAUACGCAUAUGCAAGUUGUUGUUGCCUAUGGGUUUCAGGUGAAAAAAAGCAGGUCAAUUUAACACAAGAACUUGUAGCAUUAUCUGGUGCACAUACUCUUGGAAGCAAAGGCUUUGGAAAUCCAGUUAUUUUUAAUAAUGCAUAUUAUAAAGUACAGUUGGAGAAGCCAUGUCUAUCUUCAGGUUUGUCACAUGCUUUUGGCUUAAAAACAAUGUUAACAUUUCUUAAAGCCAAAACUUAUUGUAGUGCUUAUAUUUUUUUUAUAUUUUUAUGUAUACAACUGGAAUGACUUGUGGAUUGUAAGUAGGGUUCUGGUCAACCUUUGCCAAAAUCACCCACCAUAGGUAUGCUUCCUAGAUUUGUUUUGAUUGCGUGUUUUGUUUUACUUUUGUGAUAUUUUUUUAACCGAUUGUGACCCAAAUCGUUUUGACAGUGGUUGUUUUUGUGGUAAAAAUUGUUGGAUUUUAUAGAAUUUUAAUGCUUUUAAUAUAUAGUUGGAAAUAAGAUGAGAAAAGUUUUACUUUGAGAUGUCAGAAUUGUUGUUUUGACUUCAUGAUCUUUAACUCAAUACAAGUAGUUUAAAGUGUUGGAUCUCUGGUUGUUGGGAAGUUAUAUUUUGUUUUGUUUUUUUAUAGUUAAUUGGAGAUCAUGCAAGGUAGACGACUGGUAUUUAAUAUUUAUGGGGCAUUUUUUUGUAUAUGUCUUACAAAUGCAGUAAACAGGUCGAAAUGACCAUCCCGACAAGUUUAUACAAAUGGAGGGCUGCCAUUGAACCAUUGUGAUGGUUUAUAAAUUGACUGUCCACUUUAAUCUACCCUAUAACUAGCUUCUUACACUACAAAAAAAUUAGAAUUUUUUGGUAAAACUAAAACUAUGACCCCUCGACCCCAAUAAAGCUCCGCCCUUGGUUUUGUGGCAUGUAUAUGUGAUUCUCACUAGAGAUACAAAGAUCGAACAGUGAAAAUGUUUCUAGAGAGAAUUUGUUUAUCUUAUUUGAUUAUUAUUAAAGAGUGUUUUAGAGUAAUUCUUAGGAUUAUUUCUUGAGAUACACAUAUCUUUGUCUAAACUAAGAUAAAUACCAAACUCAAGUUUUUGACAUAUUUAAUAAAGUUGAAUCAGUAGUCAGGGAGAACUUUGUUUACUUUUAGGUCAUCCUUUUGUAUAUAUUGCACUAAUCCUCUCAUUGAGGAUCAUUUGAGUCUUAAUACAACACACUCAAAUUCCUUUCGAAACAAGUCAAAGAGAUCUGCAUAAUGUGUUCAUGUUUGACCUCAAAAGUCAAAACCUGCAUGUAUUUUUCUCUUCAAAGAUAUAGAUUUGUAUAAUCUAAUCAUAUUUAAACAAUUAAUUGAUAUAAAGUGUUUUCUACUAAAUAUGUGUGCUAGAAAAUAGGCUUAACAGACAAAACUGUAGAGCCUAAAUAGCAAAAUAUUGCCAUGAAAAUUAAAAAAGAAGUUAGAGGAUCGUAAUCUGAAUUACUAUCCAUAAUCAAUAACCAUAUUGUAACUUAAAAAUUAGCGUCUUUAUAUUACAACGCUAUAAAUUCUUCACUCCGUCAAUAUAAUCUCUUUUUUAUGUCUGACAGGUAAUCAUGCAAUUAUCCUAUGGGGGAGAGGGUGGAGUUUCUGUUUAUAUAUAUAUUUUUAAUUUACUUUUAUGUUUGCAGGAAGUGCUCCCCUGACUGUAGUUCAGCUGCUACUAUGGGUAAAUAUGAUAAUGGGUACACUGGGAGCACUUGCAUUUGCCACUGAACCUUCUACCAAUGAAUUGAUGGAACGGCAAUUGGUCCGAAGAAAUGGAAAAAAAAAAAAAGAAAACAGCCGGUGAUGGGUCAAAAGAGAGUAAUGUUCUCUUUGGCUUUACAAAUAAAAGUACGAUGCCGAGAACAGUCUCUUUUGUAACCUUGAACAAGGUUGGUGGAUUUCUACAAUCUAUGGAUCUUGCACACUUUAUGCUUUUGGAAAGAUGUUGGUCAUUGGAAACGAGCCAUUAUUCAAGGUUUAAUGACAUAUUGAAUAGGAUCUACCUUUUUUAACUUUUGUCGGUCUUUGUUUCCCCCAUGACAUUCGAUUUUCACCUAAAUAAAUGUAUAAACAAAUAUUGUGUGUAUAUAUAUUUAUAAUUUUAGAGCUUAGAUCAGGUUGCUCAA
Long non-coding RNA from Helianthus annuus (common sunflower), 5838 nucleotides. RefSeq lists it as uncharacterized. The record is from RefSeq and is a predicted model, not a curated record. Lineage: Eukaryota; Viridiplantae; Streptophyta; Magnoliopsida; Asterales; Asteraceae. The transcript has 11 exons.